GUGGUGCUGAGGCUCGAACCCAGGUCCCGCCCGUGCUAGGCGAGUGCUGUAUCGCUGAGCCACAGUCGCAGCCCCUAAAAGUUAACAUCUUUAUAUAUAUAUAAACAAUGUGUGUGCAUUUUUAAAGAAUCAGUGUAGAGAAAACACUCAUGGUCCUCCACGGGACAUCUGGAGCUAGCAAAAGUCAUGUUGCGAUUCAUGAAUGACCAAACUCCGGGAAAUGCUGCCUUAGUAACAUCUGUCAGAAUGGACGGGUCCGGAUGUCUGCUAGGCGGGCCACGCUGAAAGCCAGCCCAGCCCUUUCUGCAACAGCGUCCAAGUCUUGGUUUGUCUGUGUCCCGCUUCUCGCUUCUCGUCCCAAAGGUUCAUUUACCAAGCGAAAGUCGGGGGCCGCUGGUUUCCAGCCGUCUGCGCGCACAGCAAGAAGCAAGGCAAGCAGGAAGCAGCCGAUGCGGCCCUCCGCGUCCUGAUUGGGGAGAGCGAGAAGGCAGAGCGCAUGGGUUUCACAGAGGUAACCCCAGUGACAGGGGCCAGUCUCAGAAGAACUAUGCUCCUCCUCUCCAGGUCCCCAGAAGCGCAGCCAAAGACAGUUAAGACGUCUACUUUUGGUGCUAUCUUUUUGUUUUGGGGGUGGAGCUGGCUUGUCACUAGCUGUCAUGUGAAUUGUCCCUUGGCUAUGCUACUAGCCUCAAUAGAGCAUAUAACUGGGACACUAGAUGUGAAAGGGGAAAGAAAGGUGGUGCACGAGUCCAUUAGCACGUGACCCCCUGCCCACUGUGAAGCAUGGUGGACGCGGGCGUGGCUGCAUGACCCUCACAGCCCCCUGUCCCCACAGCUUCCUCUCACUGGCAGUACCUUCCACGACCAGAUAGCGAUGCUGAGCCACCGGUGCUUCAACACCCUCACAAACAGUUUCCAGCCCUCCCUGCUCGGCCGCAAAAUCCUAGCCGCCAUCAUUAUGAAGAAAGACCCUGAGGACAUGGGUGUCGUGGUCAGCUUGGGGACAGGUGAGAGAGGGUCUCCCCAGCCACCAGCCUCUCAGUGACUGGAAGCAGGUCUUCCUCACCCUCCCCUGAGUCCAUGUGAGCAAGUCCAAGCCCGGGGACCAGGCCGCGCGUCCCCUUGUCCUGACAUGGAUCUUAAAAAGCUCUGGAUUUUGGCCAGGUGCCAGGGUGCCUUUAAUGCCACCCACUCAGGAGGCUGCGGCAGGGUGAUGGAGAAUUCAGAGCCAGCUCAGCAACUGAGCAAGACCUAAGCAACAGCAAGACCCUGCCUCUCAAAAAAUACUGCCGAGGGCUGGGCAUGUGGCUCAGGGGCUAAGUGCCCACGGGUUCAAUCCCCAGUACACCCCCUCAAAAAAAAGCUUUGCAUUUUGGAACACUUCAGAUUUCCACAUUAGGGAUGCUCAACUAGCAGACUCCAUGCAAAUAUUCCAAAAUCUGAACAACUCCAGACUCUGAAACACUGUGGUCCUGAGCACUUGGGUAAAGGACACUCACCUGCGUGUCAUUUAGCUGCAGUCAGCUCAGGGUGGGGGUGGACUCCUUCUCCCUAGGUAAGAGGAUGACUGUCCAGGCUGUUCUCCGCGAGCCUGAAGACAGACUGCCCCACCCACUUCACCCUCCUUCUCCUUUGACUUUUCCCUUUUUCUCCCAAUCCUUCAGGGAAUCGCUGUGUCAAAGGAGACUCCCUCAGCCUCAAGGGAGAGACCGUCAACGACUGUCAUGCGGAGAUCAUCUCCCGAAGAGGCUUCAUCAGGUGAGCGAGCACCUGCCGGGGCUGCCCCCGCCCACCUGGGCACAGUGGCUCCGGCACAGGCCUUCCUGACACCCCGGCAGACGGCAGGUCCCUGAGCCAGCAGUGGUGGCCUUCGGGUUUAUCCUGUGAUCUGAGCCCUCGUAGAGCCAGUCCCCUCUGUGACCCUCUGCCUCCCACCCCCAGCCUGGUCCUAAGACCUUUUUUCUGCCAACUCUGCUGUCUUCUGUUUCUCAAAACAAAGUGACCCUGGGUCCUCGGGCCUUGGGGAUGAGGCGGCCUCCAUCUCCAUUUGAGGACCCAUCAGCACCUCGUGUCGCCGCGGCUUCUCCUCUGGUUCACCUUUUCUCUAAUUUGUGAAGGGAGCGGGGAAGAGGCAGCUGCCUCCCGAAGCCUUGAGCCAGUUCCUUCUGCCUGGAGUCCCUGCAGCCGCCACAGCAAGGGGCCUUUGGCGGAAAUGAAACGGACCGAAAGGCUCACUGUGCUUUAUGAAAUGCUGAGGUCUCUCUGGGAAGCUUCCCCACCUGAGAAGCUAGAAGAGCUGCACCAGGAAACUUGUCCCCACUUGGGGCUCAGAUAGGGGUCAGCUCCAAGCACCAUCUGCUCUCGCCAGAAUCCAGCCUGCCGUCCUAACUGCACGUCUUUUACAGGUUCCUUUACAGUGAGUUAAUGAAAUACAACCCCCAGACUGCGAAGGACAGUAUAUUUGAGCUUGCCAGGGGAGGAGAGAAGCUCCAGAUAAAAAAGACUGUUUCGUUCCACCUGUACAUCAGGUCUGUACCCUGCCGGGCUCCCAGGAUGGGCUUCCACCUGCUCUGCCGGCCCCUAAAUCUGACCCCACGCAACAGGCCACACGCUCCACUGAGGUACCAUGAGGUACAUUCCCCAGUGGAGGAUGACUGUCCUAGACACAGCUGCCCCCUCCAGCAUCCCCUGGUGGGCUCCAGGAAACAUCCCAGCUCCAGCCGCAGCAGACUAGGGACCCCGAGAAGUUGGAGUUCCCUCCUGCGCAGGUGAGUGACGGACACCCCUGUGUUGCAGCACUGCCCCGUGUGGAGACGGCGCCCUCUUCGACAAGUCCUGCAGUGACCGCGCCCUGGAAAGCACAGAUUCCCGCCACUACCCUGUCUUUGAGAAUCCCAAACAAGGCAAGCUGCGCACCAAGGUGGAGAAUGGUGAGUGCCACACAGGCUCUGCGAGACCCCCGUGUGCGCCACUCGUCACGGGGGAGGACUGUAGGGAGGGGAAGUUCCAUUCUGAAUCUGUUAGCUCAGGUGAUGAGAGCCUGGGGGGGAAGAAAGGACAGAGCGUGUCCUCCUGGGGUCUCCACGGCCGGCACAGGCAGAGUGCGGGGGGAGGGCGGCGGAAGUGAAAAGUCAGGCCCUCCGUCUGGUGGCCUCGGACCUGGCCUCCUGCCCCCUCGCGCCUUCCUGCCUGUCCCCCAGCAUCUCCUUCUCCUCCGGUCACCCCUGCUCCCUUCAUGCUUCAGCAGUCGUCUGCGUCACUGUCAAGCCCAAGUCAGGUCACGUCAGUUCCCUGCUGGCCACCCUGAAGUCUGGACAGCACCACGUGGCCCAGCAGUCCUCCUGGGCUAUCCCCAGGAGAAGUGAAAGCCCAGGUCCACACAGAGCUAGUUCGGGCGCCUUCACAGCAGCCGGGCAGGGGACACGGCCAGCGCCCUCCCCUCCAUGACAGAAAAGUAAAACCGCCACAUCCAUGCGAGGGACUGUCCUUGGCCAUGACAUGAAGUAAGCAUUGACCCAGCUACAGUGAGGUCACCCUGAAAACGUCAUGCUAAGCGCAAAAAGCCCCAAAAGAUCACGUGGUGUGACUCCAUUUCUAUGAAAUAUCCAGAAUAAAUGAGUUCUACAGACAGGAAGUGCCUGAGAGGCUGCCCGGAUGAGGGACGGAGGGAGGUGGGAGUGAGAGCCAGCCGAGGUCGGGUUGGGGUUGAUCGUGCCGAUGUAUAAUCCCAUGGUGCAUAACCUCAGAAACGCCAAAAACCACUGAACAGCUUGCUUUCAAUGGCGAGUUGUAGUAUACGACUUGUAUCUCAGUAAAGCUGGUAUUUUUUAAAAAAACGCAAGCACCAUGUAGGGUCUCCCACUGCCCUUGAUACGAAGGCAACCUGAGCCAGGCACAGUGGCCCAGGCCUGCAAUCCCAGCAGCUCCGGAGGCUGAGGCAGGAGGAUCACGAGUUCAAAGCCAGCCUUAGCGAGGCCCAGAGCAACUCAGCAAGACCCUGUCUGUACUGAAAGCCCACCUCCCGGCCUCAGCCUGCCCAGUCUUCUCUUUGGUGAUUCUCUGGUGCCCCCGAAACACCGAAACCCUCGCUGCCUCAGGCCGUGGCUUCUGCCGCUCGCUCCCUGUCUGAAUGGGUUAGGACUCUUCUCCCUCCAGCUGCUCCCUGCCUCCUCCACCCAGGAGCUCGCGGUGCCGUCCCCCCGGCUCUCCCACAGGCCUUCCCCACGCUGUCAGCAUCUGGAGUUCCCACCUGCUCACUGGUGCAUCUGCUUAGUGCUCUCCUUUCCCUUUCUGUCCCUCACCCCUGAACACCGCGGGACAGCACGGACCUCACUGAGGUCUGCUCCCCAGUGUUUCCCAGCUCCCAGCACAGUGACCGCCGUGUCCUCCAGGACUGUGAGCCACAUGGAGAAUGAAGGGCCGAGCUGCCGGUGGCCCGGCCUCAGGAGCUCAAGUCCCGCGCUAGGGGUGGUUUGGUGGCCUCUGUGGAUCUGACCCGAGUCUCUCACACAGGGGAAGGCACCAUCCCUGUGGAGUCCAGUGACAUUGUGCCUACGUGGGAUGGCAUCCGGCUUGGGGAGAGACUCCGCACCAUGUCCUGUAGUGACAAAAUCCUACGCUGGAACGUGCUGGGCCUGCAAGGGGCACUGCUGACCCACUUCCUACACCCUGUGUAUCUCAAAUCUGUCACACUGGGUAAGGGACCUGCCUUGGGAGUUGGAACCCACCUGUCCUUCUCCACCCCAGUCCCAGAAAACUUCAUGCUUCAGUCAACCCACUUUCCACAGUGAGCUCAGCCCCGUCGUCAGCAGGGGGUGCCGGCCUGCACAGGCCGGAGGGUGGCCAGGAGGCCGAGGAGGGGGGCCAGGCCAGUCUCCAAGACGGGUCGGAGAAACGCGGCAGAUGGCAGCAGCAGCAUCUGGUUUUCCUUGUUCUCCUCAGUCCUUGGCCUUACCCGAAACAUUCCGUUUUGUGCUUCAAUAUUUGAUGAUCCUGUGUGUCCUGUGCUGCCACAGUUAGAGGCCCUGCCUGUCAGGGGCUCUCUGUCCUGACAAUUCUGCCUUAUACCUUCCAGCCCCCGGGGGCCUCAGCUUCUCCAUAGCUUUGGUGAACACAGAUGUAUGGGUUUUUGUUUCUGUUUUUACUUUCUUUUUUAUACCCAGGGUACCUUUUCAGCCAAGGACAUCUGACCCGGGCUAUCUGCUGUCGUGUGACAAGAGACGGGAGUGCGUUUGAGGCUGGAUUACGAUACCCCUUUGUUGUCAACCACCCGAAGGUCUGUGCCCCUGUCCUGUUCCCCUUUUCAAGCAUUCCCAUCAGCAGAGCAGAAAUAUGGUCAAGGGAGCCAUGGUUGGUGUCCUCUGGAGGCCAAGGGCUUUCCUCCUCUAGCCUGACACGAUCUGAAUCGAGGUGGAGAGUACUUCUAGAGUGUGCUCCGGUGUAACCAAGCCAUGUUAAAUCAAGGGGGAGACGGUGGCCCACCUCCCUCUUCCCCAUGAUUCGGGAGUCCCUGCUCCCAGAACUUAGCCCUGAAUGGUGUCCACCUCUCUCUCUUCACUCCUGGGACUCCCAGGUGGGCCGAGUCAGUGUGUAUGACUCCAAGAGGCAAUCCGGGAAGACUAAGGAGACGAGCGUCAACUGGUGUUUGGCUGACGGCUUCGACCUGGAGAUCCUGGAUGGUACCAGGGGCACCGUGGACGGGUAAGGAAGGGGGAGGGUGCAGGGCAAGCAGGAUCCUCUCCAGAGCUAGGGCCACGUCCCACCACGGGUGUCCCCAGUGGCUCCCACUCCCCUGUCCCAGGUGAAUAACCAGUGCCUUUGUUUCCCCAGGCCACGAAAUGAAUUGUCGCGGGUAUCGAAAAAGAACAUUUUUCUUCUGUUUAAGAAGCUCUGCUCCUUCCGGUACCGCAGGGACUUACUGAAACUCUCCUACGGUGAGGCCAAGAAAGCCGCCCGCGACUAUGAGAUAAACAAGAACUACUUCAAAAAGAGCCUCAAGGACAUGGGUUACGGAAACUGGAUAAGCAAACCCCAGGAGGAGAAGAACUUCUAUCUCUGCCCCGUACCCAACGACUGAGGCUGGGGGUUGGCGGGGAGGGGGGGGGUCCUGGCAUUCCUCAUCACAUUGGCCUAGGGUGGGGGGGGGUUAACCCCCACCUUUUUUUUUUUAAUGGAACCAUAAUUAGAGAUACUGAGAACUUUGGGUUCCCUUUAUCCUGCUUUCUUUGGGGUUUCUAGGCAGAAUCUGGCCAGGCCCCUUCUCUUACUUCAAGUGAGAGGCAGAGACCUACAGGCAGAGAAAGGGGUUGACCUUUCCACCCAGAGCAUAAGCAGUCACCCAGCCCCUGUGGCCCAUCUCCUCCUGAGCUUUGUUUUCCCGUUUCCUUUUUGUGGGUGUGUUUCUACACUGACCUCUCGUGGACUUGAUCAGGUUCCAGUCAGUUCUCUGUGAACCGUGUCAGGGACCAAGGAUCUCGUUUAUGGAUCCCACAGGCCCCUCUAUUUCCCACCCCCGGCUUCUGAGAUUCUUACCUGUGAUCACUGAGUCUCUCCUCCCACCCUGGAGGGUAAAGAGGUGGACUUCAGGAAUUAGGUGAAAUAUUUACAAGGGUAGGAACUGAAGACUACGGCGGAUUAACUACCAGUGCCAAUGGAAGUGGGACUGGAAUCUGCGAACCCUGCUCAGCAGUGGGAACCUGCACUGUGUCCAGGAAAAAGCCGCUGCUGGCGAAGCGCAUCCCUUCCCGGGGCAGCAGGAAGUUGAGAACCAGCAGACGGGCUAGGAAGUUACCCACGCCGUAGGCGGUCCCCCCUGCAGAGUGACACAGACCACUACCAGGGGCACAGACAGACGUUCCUUGGGCUAUUGCCAAGCUCCCAUCUGCCCAUAAGCCCAUAGACCCCAGUAAACUAGUGUGAAAAACUUCAGGACAAUUCUUAGAGGGUAAAUCGUCUGCUCAGAUAGUUAGGACUUAGCAAGAAUAGGGCAGAAAUCAUGUUGGGACAAAUCGUUGUUCUGUGCAGUUCAAUAUUUCUCAGCACUGAUCCAAGGAAAGUUGACUAAACCCAGUAGAAUUAGGGCUCUUUUAAAGAAUGCCAGAGACGUUGGUUCUCAACCGCAGUCGCACAGAUUUAAAAUGCAGAUGGCCUUUUCCAUCCAUCCCAGGGCCUCAUCGUGUCAGAUGGCUCUGGGACUGGCAGAUGAUUUCCCACACUCCUGCCUCCCACCCGCAAACUGCUUCCCCACCUGGUCUGGCCCACCUCUUCAGUAGUGGAUAUGUCUGUGUUUGCACUUUGAUCUCUCUGGCUACUUUCUGUACCUGUGACCAAAAACUGAAUGAAAUAAUAAUGCAGGUUUUAAAAAAGACACUAAGGAUGUCUUUGUGGGACACUGAAGCAUCCCAAGGGAACUGGUGGGGAAAUGGGGCCUGUCUCUGGGGGAGAAGGGGCCGGGGCUUUGUGAGUAUUGCCAAGCUUGGGGUAUUAGCUGAAGGCAUGUGACUUCAGUGCUGACCUGCGGAGUGACAGUGCUCACUGUGUGGGGGCAGGGUGAUCUUGUGGCUCCGGGACAGGUCCUCCCGGCUGGAGGAUGACUACCUACCAGUUCCUCAGGAUGUCUGGCAGCUUUGGUCUGCCUUGGGCAUUAGAAUCUCUGGCAGAGAUCUGACUCAGCAGUCCCCCACCCCAUCACUGGGAGCACAGGGGCUCUCAAGAGAUCAGAGCCCCACUCGCCCCCAGGAUCUUAUCUAGCAAACUUGUCAUAUCCAGUUUCUGCUGUAAGAAGAAAGCGAGAAGCACCCCUGCCCUCCACACCCUGCUGGAAUUGAGCCGUGUCAGGCCCCGCCCCCCCCGUGUCCCAGGCCCCGCCCCUCAGAGUCACACAGGAGGGGUGGGGGGCAGAGCAUCCCCCCUGUGUUCACUUCUGUCCAAUCUUUGUUUUAACAAGCAAGACCCCUCCCUCCUUUCUUUAAUGGUUUUUUGUAGUUGAUUUGUCUGAACUGUGGCUGUUGUGCAUUAUCUUUGAAUAAUCACUUGUAAAAAUUGUUGAUGCUUGAAGCUAUUUCCUUUACUCAAGUUGAAAGGACUCUGUUGGCUUUGGGGUCUUGACAGUGACUCCAAGAGCAGAGUGGGGAAGAGCCCGGGCAUAGCCUUGGUGCCAGGGAGGCUGCAGUCCAGUUUCAUGAUUCUGCUUUUUGUGUCUACCUUCAAGUGACUCACAGUAUACAUUCCUCUGAAAUAAAAACAGUGAACAGUCUGAAUCCUUAGAGAGCUUCAUGUCUUGGU
RNAcentral lists this long non-coding RNA (8283 nucleotides) under Marmota monax (woodchuck). Lineage: Eukaryota; Metazoa; Chordata; Mammalia; Rodentia; Sciuridae. The record is from RNAcentral.